CCUUGACCAACAUGGUGGGGGAAGUGGACUGACAGGCCAAGGGAGCUGGACGUCAGUAUGGAUGAAGCUCUUUUCUCACAGCAGCUGUACAGUAAUGGUGGGUGCCAUCAUUUGAGCUAGUUGUCUGAGCUGACCCUUUAGAGAUGUCAUGCUGCAUAGCAGCUUCGAGUUAAAUAUGUGAGCUAUAGGGCAUUCAGGAGCUUCCACCAAAGGGAAUGUAUAAUUAGCCAAGAUGGAUAGAUAAUGCAUUGCUCUGUCUCCGGGGCUUGUGGUAGAGAUCAGUGGAAGGAAUUACUCAGGUGAAAUUACUUAGUGGGUGAGGAAAAACUGGUGGAGUGGAUGGAGCUAAUGGUAGGGUAUACCUAAUUACGACGACUCCCCAAACAUUGACUUAAUGUAUAAUUUUGUUGUCAUUCUUGCUAUUGUUUGGGAAUCACCAGGUAAGCCUCGCCUUGCUUUCUUCUCUCCAGAAGUCAAGGGCAGCAUUGUCCCCAGCGUACACUGCUGACCUGCUGUUGACAACCUGCCCUAAAAUGAGUCGUUAUCUAGUCACUUUUCUCAUUGUAUGGUUUAAGAAAGCAUGUCUGAUGCUUCCUUGCUCGGCUUACAUUUCAAUUCAUUCAAGGGAGGAGGGAAAUUCUCCACUCCCACACAUAAGAUCCACAAAGUGGCUUACAACAAGAUAAUAAAUCAGCAACAAUGUAAAAGCAUAUUAUUAUUACUACAAUGGGGGAAAUUGCAAGGACAUCAACAGAAUCUCUGUUCUGUCCUGAUUGUCCAAUGAAAGGUAUGGGUCAGGCGCCUGUAUUGCUCCUUUACUGACUACCUAGAGAGUAGAAGCUGGGUCAAAAUAGGUUUCUCAGAUAAAGUGUGCAUGUGUGCAUUUAUUCAUGAAAAUAACUUAAAAUGAUGCUUUACAUUAGGAAAAUUACUUUGCAAUGUUGAGUAUAUAAGGCAUAUGAAAUUGCACACAAAACCUCAAUUGAAAUUUGCAGUGAAAUGCUUUUGAAUUUUCAUGAGGACUUAAAAAAACCACACACUGACAUGGAAAUGUGAGAACUGUGCUUAAGACUGAAACAAUGACAAACAGAGAGAAACUAAAGUUGACAAAUUCACCCAUUUCUGCUUGGAGCCUGCUUAGUUUGUUCCAUGGGACCUGCUGACAGCUUAGUUGCCUUCUUACUCACACAGCCCCACCCAGCAUUUGCCCAGGUUUUUAGGGAGGCCUAAAGUAAACAGUGAUAUUUUAUUUUCAUUUCUGCUGCCUGUCUUAUUUGUGUCUGCUAUUAAUCUUAUGAAGCUGAAUGAUUUAUUUUGUAGUAGGGUUUUGUUUUGUUGUUUCUUUUCUUUUUCUUUUAAAAAAACAUUGUUAAUUGUGAUAUCUGAUAUUAUCUGCCUACCUGGCACUACCAAGCAAAAUACAAACUGCAACUACCGGGUGGAGGGUGGUGUUGGCACUGCAUGCCAACCCCAAAUAACAAGGUUGAAUUAAGGGGAUUGGGGGGGGCAGGAUCUCCCAUUCCCUGUCAUCGGUAUGUGAGACCUUCAGAGCGACCACUCAAGGAGCACAUUGCAGACUGCACUAACAGGAUGAUAAUAUGCCACAAAUUAGGAAGCUUUGUGUAAACCAGCACUUGUUUCAAGUAUUGGUUUAGUGCUCAGGGCAGAGGCAGGUUUUUCAGGCUUUGCUGUGUUUUGAAUCAAAUAAACGAUUUAAUUAGGUUAGCUAAGGAACGAGAUGGGGUAGUGGAUUUGGCAAGUGUGCUAAAGCCCUUGAGGGCAGGUGCUGAGUACCAUCACAUACUGUUCAUGCUGAUUUGAACUUAGGGCACCCAGCACCAUGCAGGCAGGAUCAGACCUAAGGCAAAUAAGGAGCUUUCUCUUGUAUAUGGUUAGCUGGUUUUAAAUUUGAUACCUUCUUCCAAUAUAGAUACAAUAAAAUGAAGUCCCCCUGCCCCUUGCACUACGUAAAUGAUAUCAACCUGGGUUUGCUAGUUUACAUCCAAUUGUGUGACACUGUAAAUGUGUCUUGAUAAGUAAGGUGAGGGGAUGCUCACAAAAUUUGCAGAUCACACCAAACUGGGAGGGAGGGACCUAAUGCUGCCGAAGACAGGGUUAGGAUUCAAUAUGACCUGAAACCCAACUGUCAUUCCAUUGUCUGGAGAGGACACUUCCUGGUUCGCAUGGAGAAGCCAUUUUCAAUGCAGCCCAGCAAUGGAAGCAUGCAGCUGUAUUGAGGCAGCACCGGGUAUUGAAAAUUUGCACCCCUAGGAGCUUUGUGUCUGAAGCAACUGCCUUUGUGCUCCCCAUGCUGGCGUGUUGCUACUGAUAGCCCUUGUGGAAAGAUAACUGCCCAGGUAGGAGAAGUGAUUGACAUUUUCCAAUGUUACACUAUUGAUUAUCGUCUUCCAAAGCAACUACUCUAUUCUGAACUUAAAAAUGGAAAGCGUAAUGCUGGUGGUCAACAAAAGAAGUUUAAAGACUGUUUCAAGGCAAAUCUUUAAAAAUGUAGUAUAAACACCAACAAUUGGGAAACAUUUGCCUGCAAGCGCUCCAAUUGGGGAACAGCCUUUACCAAAGGUGUCAUGGACUUUGAAGACACUCGAACUCAGGACGCAAGGGAGAAAUGUGCUAAGAGGAAGGCACGCUUGGCAAACCCUCACAGUGAUCAACUCCUGCCCGAAAACCAAUGUCUCCACUGUGGAAGGACGUGUGGAUCCAGAAUUGGCCUCCACAGUCACUUACGGACUCAUUGUUAAAACAGUGUUUAUGGAAGACCAUCUUACUCAGCUAUGAGUGAUUGCCAAAGAAGAUUGAUAGCCUUCUUCUCCUUGACUUUGUCCAACCUUCUUUUAAAGCCAUGCAAGUUGGUAGCCAUCACAGCCUCUGGUGGGAGACAGUUACCUAGUUUAACAUAGUUUAAAAUGGUUUCCCUCCACAUAGUGUUUGCCAUAUGGAAUCCACACAGGUAUCCUUGGAUUGGGGCCAGUGUGUUUAGACAUGGGGCCUCUAUAUACUGCCACUAUCACCGAGGACACUUUAAAAAGAGAUAAUAGAAAAUGUAUUCCUUGGUGCAUUAGUAUAAUUUGGGCUAUUCCACAGUGCAGCACUUUGUGCUUAUUAAGAAAUGACUUUCACCUGCCAUCCUGCCCUCUCCCCAUUCUCUUUGUGGUCUUUCUCUUAUUAAAGGGAAUUUAAUUUUUCCUUUCAUUAUCUUUAUUUUCUUCCAGAGGAUUAUAACGAUUAUAAAUUCUCCUCAAUGGGAUGAACCAGAGCUACAAGCAACGACUGAUUUCAAAUUAUUUCAUUUUUGUGAGGCGAGGAAUACACAUGUUUAAAAGCCUCACCCAAAAAAUGCAUUCUAAAUAAAGAUGGUCAGUGGUGUAUGAGACUCAAUACGGAUUUCUUUGAGGAGAUUAACAAGACUGAUAAUAAAAUAACAUUAAAGGGCAUAAAGCAUUGUAUAUUGAAAUGAAUAACAAAAGUCAAAAGCUUUGAGGGUAAUUAGUACUUAAUUAGAAAUAGAGAUGCUAUCAGCAUAAUAGUCACAAUUUUAUUCAUUAGGUUCUGCUACUUGACUCCACAUCACAGUGCCAUGGCUGGGCUUUUUGAAUAUGCAUUUACAGAACAUAGAUCACGGCUUACAGCAAGUGGUUAUUUGGAUAAAGCUAUGCUUGAGUUUUGUUUUCCAAAACAAGUUGGCUACCAGUCGCUGUUUAAUUGACUAUUGGGAGGAUCCAUGUACAUUCCUAUUAGUUGCUGUCACUGAGUAGAACGAGUUGUACAUGGAUUCACUGACAGCAGCUGUUGCUAGAUCUUUGGAAACCUGAUCUUGGCAGAUUCUUAUGAACCUGCCCCAGUGCUAAGAUCCUCAGGUGAGCACCUAACUCUUGUUCCCAUCAAUAUCAGAGGCGCAGCUGGUGGUGUGACGUGUGAGAUCCUUUUCUGUGGCUGCUCCCAUAUUGCCAAAUUCCCUCCCAAGAGAGGUUAGAUUGGCUCUCUCCUUGCUACCUUUCCACCAGCAGGCAAAGACCUUCCCAGUAUAAGCAGGCCUUUGAAAACUAAGGUUCAGGUGGUGCUGACCACUGCGCUGUUAUCACAACAAGUGACAUUUCAAUGCUGGUUCCAAAUGUCUUUUAUUGUAGUUUAUCUAUUGCUUUCAAUUCCAUUACUUUGUAUUUUAUAGGGAUGUUUUAAGUAUGUUGUAAGCCCCUCUUUGUGUGCCUCCUCCACGUGAGCUCCAGAGGGUGACAACACGGGAAUGGUGGCUAAGGUAGAAUGCUCUCUCCAGGGAAGUUCAUCCGGUGCCUUCAUUAUAUAAUUUUAGGUACCAGGUGAAAACAUUCCUCUUCAACCAAUCCUUUGGCUGAUUAAUUUUCUACAGCCUUUUAGAUGUGUCUAUGGGAAGGAGGGGUUGUUGUUUUGCUGUUUUGAUUUAAUUAUUUACUUGAUUCUAUCCUGUAUUUUUUAUUCUGUGAACCGCCCUGAAAUCUUAUGAUGAAGGGUGGUAUCUAAAUACAAUAAAUAAAUAAAUCCUCUUGGAUUAAUGGACAGAAUACAGCUUAGCCAUCCACCAGAUUUCAUGCUUCUCCAAAUAUUGCAAUGCAGUUUUCAAGCGCAUUUUGAGAGAAAAUGUGCAUUUAAAUAUGUAUUAAAAAUCCAUAUUUAAGGAUAUGCUGAGUAAUGUGGAAACAGAAGGGUAGAGAACCAUGUGACUGGAAGUAGACGGAUUAUGUCAUCCCUGACUUCUUCUCUGGAGUAUAUUUAUUUCAGAGAUAUUUAUCACACUCUUCAGAGCAGCUGACAAGUUUAAAUCAAAACUGCACUAAAUGUAAAAGGAAGAAUGAGAGAAUGAGUAUUUAAACAGGAAAGGGGUUACAAACAGUAGCAGCAGAGCGAUAAAAGUCCAGAUUACAAAAAUAGGAAACUCAGCAUUUUAAAGCAUCUGUGUGUGUGUGUUAGGGCCAUACAAGCAUCCUGAGGCAGAAAAUUCUGAAGUUGGGUGGCAGCACCAAGAGAGUCCUAGCCUGGUUCACAAGCUGGAAGGAUGUGAAGAAAGGCCGGAGUUAGUGAUCUCCAAGCAAGGCAGUUCACUGAAGGCAGGAAUGGGGAGCUGGAUGUUGUUGGACUCCAGCUCCAAUCACCCCCAACCAGCCUGGCCAAGUGACAGGGAUGAUAGGAGUUGUGAUAGCAGCAACAUCUGGAAACUCAACACUUCCCUGAUCUUGACCUAGGAGAAGUGGGACCUUAUGGUUUUCCUGUCCCAGGCCACUUAUGGUUUUAAGGGUUAAUGCUAGCAUCCUGAAUCAAGUACAGAAAUGUAUCAGAAGUCAAAGCAGCUAUUUAAAGAGGGAUGGGAUUUGAUUCAUAAGCCUGGUCCCAGUUAGAUGUUACAAUCCAAGCCCCAGUCAGAGACCACUGGGGCUUAAUGGGAGCAGCAAGGUCAUCCACAGCCCUGCUGCUCCCACAGACAGGAGUAGGAGGUGGGUGCAGCCAACUGACCGUGCCAGCCUGUCUCUGGUGUAGCAGUUGGGCUCAGAUUGGGCCCAAUGCCCGCAUGUGACCACAGUGAAGCCAGCUUGGGAUGCAGCAGCUCAUCCCCUCCCUGGCCCUAGAAAACACAGUUUCAAGUCUUUCUACGGGUUGCUGCGGGCAGAGAUUCUACCAGAAGAUUUCCAAACACUUGCUUGUUCCCCAUGUACAAUGGAGACCUUGAGGCCAGUGGAGACUAGCUGCACCAGGAAGUUGGACACCCCUGCCCAAUCCAACCCACCCACCCCCUUCAGCCUGCUCCAAAUGUUGUUUGGAUUUCCAUGUACAUUGCUGUAUUUUGUACUAAAUGUCAUUUCCAGGCCUGGAUAGCUCAGUUGGUUAGAGCAUGGUGCUGAUAAUGCCAAGGUUUCAGGUUUGAUAUGGGACAGUUGCAUAUUCCUGCAUUGCAGGGGGGUGGCAUCAAUUAUCCUCAGGGUCCCUUCCAACUUUAAGAUUCUAUUAUCCUUCAGCAGCAGCCUCAUGCAUAGCAUAUUGCAUGUGUCCUCCUUGUACAUCUGCAUGAAACUAGGCUUGGACUUGGUCAACUGAGCUCACCUAGGACUGUGUGUGCUGAGGCUCCAGAGUCCUCUUGGAAUGCAUGAGGGCAAUAUCAGCUACCAUAAUAGACAAGCAAGGUUCUCAAAUGGCCAGGUCUAAAAUAAAUACUAGAGUUCCUGUCCUGCUACUGCUGAGUUUGCCUGAUCAACAAAUAGAUGUAUUCUGCCUGCUGCAUUUCAGAAUCCAGCACGGGCAGCUUUGAACAGUGGGGAGAUGAAUUGAGUCUGGAUUUGAGUUCUUUUGCCCAUAGCCAUGCCCCAGUCUGUGCCCUUUCUGAAGCUUUGCCACCAAGUCCUGGCGAGGGGUGUGAAAAGGUGAAUACCGACAACAUAAUGCCUUGGAACAGCAUCAUUAUCCUUAAAUUGCAGAUGUGAACCAUCAAAGCACAUUAAGAAGCUGAAUGCAGUCCACCAGCCACAUACUGAAAUCCAUUGAUAAAUCUCUUUGGUUUCGCAGCCUAUCUGGCAGUGGAAACAGGAGAGCUUGGAAAGCAGUUGGCAUGCCACAAUACACAGCUGGCGGGUUGUGUUCAGCUUGGCAGGUCACAAGUUGUGCUGGCCUGCGAUAUGGGUACAUGGUGAAAAGCUGCCACUUGAUAAAUGGUCAUCCACAUUCACCCACAAUGCUCUGGGUUUUUGUUUCUGGGCUGGUGGUUCACUUUGAGGACAAGAGCAUCCCCGUUGGUUCCGUAAAGCUUCAUAUUGGUCCCAUCUGCAAUUUGAGGAUAAUGGCACUUAGCUCUAUCAAAAGAGGAUUACAGGAUUUAGUUCUGAAGCCCAAGAUCCUUGGAUGGAAUUUAAUCUGUACUCUGAAGCUGUGAGACUCAUUUUGGAUUCUGGUUUUGUUUCAUAUUCACCACUGGCCUUCUCCCAGCAGAUGGGAGUUGGACCUCUCCAUGUCAAAAGAAAAGGAGGCAAAGAAACAGUUGGCUUAACUCUGAGCUUAGCAUUGCUACAGGGUGGCUCCCCAAAGCCAUGCGAAAUGAGUGGUUUGACAUUGACUCUGAUCAAAAAGCAACAGGGUUAAUUUAAUUAUUCAUCUGCUUUGAAUAUCAAACGGGAAGAAUAUAAAUUCGCUCCACUCUUUAAGAAAAUGAAGCUGUCCAAAUCUCAAAAUGACAAGAUGAGAAGGCAAGAGAGAGGGGGGAACUCAGGAUUCAACUGGAUCUUGAGAAGAACUAAUUGUGUUCUGAGCCACGGACGAUCCAUUUUUCUCUAAGAUACUAACAUGAGCACUUGGCUCCUUGUAAUUGCAGUGUGCCCUUUUGAGUCAAAGGCAGCUCCCUUCUAUGAUACUUAACUGCUAGCUUCAAAAGAUUACAACUGUCCUUCCCGUAACCUAUAACCAACAAUUAAACCCUACAGAGAAGAUUUGCUCUUUCCCCUCAGGGGUUUCUAUCAGAAGUUUCGGCUGACAGAGCAGGUGGAAGUACACUGGACCUUGGAAAAGGGCUUAGCUGCUAGAAGAUCAUCACCCAUGCUGCAAAUUAAUAACAUUUAUAUCCAGUUUCUUUAAAAGGCAGAGAGCACCUUCCAGGAAAACCUUGUCAUUCUUUGCUGGAGCACUAAGGCUGUCCACACCUGCUUGUCUUCAAAAACGCAAGAGCUGGUACUCUCUGACUAUUCACUGGAAGUCAUCUAGAUAGCCUCCCACCUUGUUUUUGUAGGUAGGAGCCAUGGCCAGCCCUCUGACUAGACAAGGGUAACACUUUUGCUGCAGCAGAAGGAAAAGAGAUUGUUUCCACUGUGGCACCUCCUUGACAUGUAGGAAGCAAUCAGAAUGUUGAUCUAUCUAGUAUUUGUGGGAUAAACAGCCUCACAUAACCAACAUGCUUAAGUCUAUUUAAUUCAUGAAGAGGUUAAUACCAUAGAGUAAGCUGUCCUGCCAGGCUUAGCUAUGUCCACUUCCCUUACCUUAGGAGGAAAUGGUUCCUCUCCCAGUCUACCUGAGAAGCUCAAUGUAUGAAGGUGGUUGUUCCAGCUCAGACUGCAUUGUUCUCACAGACACUCUUGAGUUCCUUUACCAAUAAUCUAGAAACUGCCACCACUUUUUAACUAAGCCAAGUUUUAUUGCCUAUUAAACUUUCUGAAACACAAGAACCUGAACUUGGGAGAGUUUGUAAGUAAACCAUUUUUUAACUUACUAAACAUGAGAUCUUUUUCCUAAACUGGGGGACUAUAUCACUUGAACUAAAGUUAACUUACCAGUGUUAGGGAAUCCAGCCCACACUCUUCUUCCUGCAUGGUGAUCACCUCUGUAAAAUAAACAUAUAAUGUGAUGAAGGGUCCUUUGUGGAUUAUCAGGUCAAGAGUCAGAAUGGAAUACAUUUCAGGUCCAGCUCACAAAGCAGUUGUGCAUGAACUGAGCAGUUCAUCUUACAACAGUUGCUAUAGCUUUCUUGACAAAACAGAUUAAUGAUGAUGGACACUCAAGUUAACUCUUUUCACAAUUCCCAGCCCUUGAAAAUGUGCAAUCAAUUUUCUACCAUCAAUAGCAGCAACCUGUUGGGAGGGGUAUCAUGUAUUUUGCAAGCCAAGAGUUGAAACAACCUUAUUUAUGGGUGAGCUUACUUAGCAUCAGAGAUGCGCUAUUUCAAUCCCGAAGAGUUUCAUUUGACAUAUUUUGUUAAUGUUGAGUGCUUUGCCACAGGAGAUUGUCAAAACCUCACUGAUGCAAGGCAACUUCUUUUGCCUUUUUGAGAUGGAUGAGAAGUGGCAAAUUUACACAUCCUGGGGAUGAUGGGGAAUUGUAAGUUAGGAAGCACAGAAUGCAAUCCUUCACUCAUUAUUGCUAGGAAGAAUCUGAUGGGAUUUACGCAGGGCUGGAACAGAAGUUGUGUCCAGAAGUGGAAACAAAUAUCCAAAUAAAACUUUGGAUGGUGAGUUUCAUAACAAUUAAAGUUGGAAGGUGAUAUGUAAUGUUUGCCUUUGUUGCCUCAUUCAAUCUUGGAUUAGCUCUUGGGACUCUGGUUGGUCCAACUGGAUGUGGCUACAUCUUAUAUCUAGGGAUUGACAUUGGAGGAAAUUUGUUUUGUGAAUAAUCUUCUAAACCAAAAUAUGGAGAUGCUACAUCAUUGAACUUGGCCUAGGAGCCAUGCUGCAUAUAUUCUCUUAAGGGCUGUGUAAUUUAGUUAUACUGCUGAGACAACUACAGACCAGACCGGUCCAGCUCUUCUGCUGGACUCAUCACUCAGAUGGCGACUCUUGCAUUGAUGGCAUGGGACUGGAGACAGUGAAACUAUCCCGUGCGUCAGGAGUAGGAUGAGCCAGCGGGGCACAGAAUGGUGAGAUGACAAUCCCAGGAGGUGGUCCAGUGGGCUUUGGGGAGCCUCCACUAGGGGAGAAAGAAUCGGAGACUAGUAACAAGGAGAGGGAGAGGCGAGCACCCCUUGCUUCCCUGACCAUACCCUCCUCACAGCAUGGUUGUCCCAUCUUUCCACCACAACAUGGAGUGAGAAACACGGGCAGUUGAGGGGACAGCAACUAGUAAGGAGGAGAGAAUGCCUGAGAGAACUCCACUUUGAUAUUUAUGGGGAGAGAGGAGCGCAAGAGAUCAGUUCAACUUUCCUAAAGAAAGAGCACAGCUGGGCCAUCAGGGUAGUAAAAGACAGGAUUAGCAAAGCCCCUAUUGUGUAGCAAAGAAUAGAGGCUUAUCUAUGUGUAUUGGCUGAAGAGCCUCAGGGAGAUAAUGUACCAAAGCUUCCUCUCAAUAAAAGUGAAUGGGAAAACCUCAGUGAGUUGCAGCUCAAUACCUGAAGUGCAGAGCACUCUGUAUAUUUGGGACUCCAAAAGCCCAGACUUGGCAUCUGUUGUUUCUGAUGAUCCUAGGACACAGGAAGGCCACAAUCAGAAAUGGAACAGUACCUCUUGACAUUCCAUCUCUAUAACUCUUCUUUGGAAAUUCAGCCUAAACAUGCAAGGGCAAAAAGUGUGCUGGGGUCAGAGGCUCAUGCACUGGGCAUUGCCUACCCAAUAUUCCCACUGAUGCUAGCCCUGCACCCUCCACUCCUAACCUUUGCAUAUUUAGCUUGAAAAUUUGAUUGGUUCUCACUGCAUUUGGUUGAAUUCACUUAGAAACAACCUCUCCUGCCCAAAAUCAGGAACCCUGGAUUAUUAAAGUUUCCAGUCACAAGGAGGCUUCUAAGAGUGUUGUUAUUGUUUCAUAUAUUUAUGUACUACUUGAUACUGGAACAGUCUCUAAGGCCACAUUCACUAUGAUACCACUUUAAACAGUUAUGGCUUUCCCCAAAGGAACCUGGGAGCUUCAGUUUGUUAAGGGUACUGAGCGUUGUUAGGAAACCCCUAUUCCUCUCACGGAGGUACAAUUUCCAGCGUCGCCUUUGAGAGAGAUUGAUUGGUAAACCACUCUGGAAAUCACAGCUCUGACUGGGAAAGCACUUUAAAUGUAUGGUGUAAAUGUGGCCUAAGUGAAUAUUUACAGAAAAGUAAAUUAUCAUCUAUCUAUCUAUCUAUCUAUCUAUCUAUCUAUCAAUCAUCUAUCUAUCUAUCUAUCGUCUACUCAUACACUCACACAACCAAAUGAUGAAAUUAAAAAAACUAGAAUAUCACAUUAAACAAUUUUUAAAAAAAACUUUAAAGGGAAAAUAUAGCAGCACAUUUUGUGGGGGGGGGAGGGAAUCUAAUGAGUCAGGGAAAUGAUUCAGUAGCCUUCCCAAAAACUACCUCUAAAUUGGGUGAAAAAUUGGGGUGAAGUAUAGUCUGCUGACAUCUGGACCCCACCCCUAACAUGUCUACAUUUGGGGGCAGAGUUGCGUACAUAUCACAGAACCCCUUUCACACAUUCUGUGGUCUUGUGCACAGGCUGAACACCGAGAGAUGGCUUAUGAAAGACAUUCACCCUCCAUUUAGAAUUGUGUAUUUUUCACACUGUGCUUUAUAACAGGAUAUUCCAAGAAACAAGAAUCCUCGAAAAUAGUUUCAUUGGCUUUGGAAAAUAUUGAGUGGGUGAUGAACUUCAAAAGAAAUCAUUUGGUAGGAUUCAUCAAAUAAGUGAAGUGUUAUAAAAGUAAUUCUUGGAAAGUCACUUUCGAUGAGCACUAUCUAGUGUAGCAAAAGAAAGAAAUGCAGCAGGAAAUCAAUAGCUACACUUUCAUCUUCACCUCCAAUUGCUUUGCAGAACUGAACUUCCAGAUCGUGAUGCACAUUCCAGUGUGAGGGAUCGGAUCCAAUCAUUGUGCAUUCUGCAGGUUUCGGAUAAAGAUGAACUUUCCCAUUCAUCUUAGAAUUAACCUGUUCUAAGGUGCCAUAGGCCAUCACACCCAGCCCCCUGUUGUAUAAAGGAAAUCCAGAACUGUGAUAUCUUCAAAUAGAUGGCUGCUAGCUUCUCGAAGACCUCCAUUGAGAUACAUCAUCUCCCUCCCCAUGCCACACCAAGUAUUUGACACCAUUGUUGGAUGGCUCUUGUCAUCAAAAGGUUUCUCCAAAUGUUCCGGACAAAUCUGUAAUUAUAUUUUCUUGGCCUCUGGUUAGGAAUGGGUGAAUCUGCCAAUUUUGUUUUCUUUCUACUUCUUGUUUCUCAGUCUUAAAUUCAGUUCUUCACAUUUCCACAUCAGUUGGCAAUUUCCCCGCCAGCAUCUUAGUGAGAAUGUCUCCUACAAUACAUAUGUCUACAUGGAGUCUUCCACAAUAUUCACAUUUUUACCAACCAGUCCCACCAAAUAUUAGGCG
RNAcentral lists this long non-coding RNA (11777 nucleotides) under Podarcis lilfordi (Lilford's wall lizard). The stretch from base 5853 to 5908 matches the Rfam family "tRNA". The record is from RNAcentral. Lineage: Eukaryota; Metazoa; Chordata; Lepidosauria; Squamata; Lacertidae.